AUUGAACGCUGGCGGCAUGCCUUACACAUGCAAGUCGAACGGUAACAGGUUAAGCUGACGAGUGGCGAACGGGUGAGUAAUAUAUCGGAACGUGCCCAGUCGUGGGGGAUAACGUAGCGAAAGCUACGCUAAUACCGCAUACGAUCUACGGAUGAAAGCGGGGGAUCGCAAGACCUCGCGCGAUUGGAGCGGCCGAUAUCAGAUUAGGUUGUUUGUGAGGUAAAAGCUCACCAAGCCUGCAAUCUGUAGCUGGUCUGAAAGGACGACCAGCCACACUGGAACUGGGACACGGGCCAGAAUCCUACGGGAGGCAGCAGUGGGGAAUUUUGGACAAUGGACGCAAGUCUGAUCCAGCAAUGCCGCGUGCAGGACGAAGGCCUUCGGGUUGUAAAGGACUUUUGUCAGGGAGGAAAUCCUAGUGGCUAAUAACUGCUGGGGAUGACAGUACCUGAAGAAUAAGCACCGGCUAACUACGUGCCAGCCGCCGCGGUAA
Molecule: ribosomal RNA, 493 nt
Filed under: uncultured bacterium
Lineage: Bacteria
Description: partial 16S ribosomal RNA
Rfam family: Bacterial small subunit ribosomal RNA
Source: RNAcentral